RNAcentral lists this ribosomal RNA (254 nucleotides) under uncultured bacterium. Its description in RNAcentral is "partial 16S ribosomal RNA". It matches the Rfam family "Bacterial small subunit ribosomal RNA", at positions 524 to 776 of the family's 1533-position model. The record is from RNAcentral.
UACGGAGGGUGCAAGCGUUAUCCGGAUUCACUGGGUUUAAAGGGUGCGUAGGUGGGCAGGUAAGUCAGUGGUGAAAUCCUGUAGCUUAACUACAGAACUGCCAUUGAUACUAUUUGUCUUGAAUACCCUGGAGGUGAGCGGAAUAAUGUCAUGUAGCGGUGAAAUGCUUAGAUAUGACAUAGAACAUCUAUUGCGAAGGCAGCUCACUACGGGAAUAUUGACGCUGAGGCACGAAAGCGUGGGGAUCAAACAGG